UACGGGGGGUGCAAGCGUUGUCCGGAAUGAUUGGGCGUAAAGCAUCUGUAGGUGGUUUUUAAAGUCGACUGUUAAAGCCCAGGGCUUAACUUUGGAAAAGCGGUCGAGCACUUAAGGACUUGAGUUUGGUAGGGGUAGAGGGAAUUCCUAGUGGAGCGGUGAAAUGCACAGAGAUUAGGAAGAACACCGAUGGCGAAAGCACUCUACUGGGCCAUAACUGACACUGAGAGAUGAAAGUCGGGGGAGCGAAAAGG
Molecule: ribosomal RNA, 254 nt
Filed under: uncultured bacterium
Lineage: Bacteria
Description: partial 16S ribosomal RNA
Rfam family: Bacterial small subunit ribosomal RNA
Source: RNAcentral